RNAcentral lists this ribosomal RNA (423 nucleotides) under uncultured bacterium. Its description in RNAcentral is "bacterial SSU rRNA". It matches the Rfam family "Bacterial small subunit ribosomal RNA", at positions 207 to 622 of the family's 1533-position model. The record is from RNAcentral.
AAGACCUUGCACUUUUGGAGCGGCCGAUGUCUGAUUAGCUAGUUGGUGGGGUAAUGGCCUACCAAAGCUUCGAUCAGUAGCUGGUCUGAGAGGACGGCCAGCCACACUGGGACUGAGACACGGCCCAGACUCCUACGGGAGGCAGCAGUGGGGAAUUUUGGACAAUGGGCGCAAGCCUGAUCCAGCCAUGCCGCGUGAGUGAAGAAGGCCUUCGGGUUMUAAAGCUCUUUCAGCCGGGAAGAAAAGGUUGCGACUAAUAAUCGCAAUUCAUGACGGUACCGAAAGAAGAAGCACCGGCUAACUACGUGCCAGCAGCCGCGGUAAUACGUAGGGUGCGAGCGUUAAUCGGAAUUACUGGGCGUAAAGGGUGCGCAGGCGGUUUUGUAAGUCAGAUGUGAAAUCCCCGGGCUUAACCUGGGAACU